Long non-coding RNA from Manis pentadactyla (Chinese pangolin), 1487 nucleotides. RefSeq lists it as uncharacterized. Lineage: Eukaryota; Metazoa; Chordata; Mammalia; Pholidota; Manidae. The transcript has 2 exons. The record is from RefSeq and is a predicted model, not a curated record.
AACUGAAAGACACCCUCUGGUUCUCCAUGCUCUCUCUCUUCCCUGGUCUGCCAGUUGGUGCAGAAGACUCAGUGCAAGACUCUGAGGCUUAGGGGAUGCAGGAGCCUGGGUCCCCAAAUGAUUGCUUGGAGCUGAAGCCAGUUCCCUUCUACUCUACGACCCACAUUGGAUUCUGAUAUCUCCAUCAUCUCUCUCCCAUGGACAAUGGUAGCACCGAAUGGGUAGCCAGAGCACACCUAUUCCUUCAGCUGCAAGAGGAUCGCCAAAGCCCUGGUUUUCUGCCUGCGUCUCCAGCUUUACCACGGUCUAGGACAAUCACCUCCUUUGUCGUACUUCUUCCAUCCAGCCUGGCCUCCUUCCACGAUCCGUCAGCUGACUGCUGCUUUUCUCUCUGGGGAAAGGAACAGCUGGCUUGUGGAGGGUGGGAGCCCAUCUACGGGGAGAUCUGUCAUCCCUGGGGCUUGUGACUAAGCUUGGAGAGAAUCACAACCAUGGAAGAGAUGCUGACGAGUGGAGACCCCUGACAUUCAGGUUCAACAGCCCCUGCUAGGGGGAGCAAGGUCAAGGUAAGGGAAGCUCACACCUCAGGCACACCUGAAGGUACUUCCUACUCUUUAUCAAUAACAAGACAAGCAAUGGCAACAAUUUAUUGCACUCUUGUGCUGGGCACACUGCUGAAUACUUUACAUAUAUUGUUUGACUGACAUCACCCUCUGAAGCAGUGUUCUUAUAAUACCUAAAGAGCAGGUGACCUGCUUGGGUUCAAAUGGGUUUAGUUGCCUGCUCAAGUCACAUAAGUAGGAAGUAAGGAAGCCAGGAGAGGAAACCCAGGUAUCAGAUUGAAAAGUCUGUGAUUUUCCAGUCACUUCCAUGUCAUUGACUGUCUACCUCUUCUGUGCCAGCCACUGUGAAAGCCCUUCACAAACACAUUUUUUAAUUUUCUAGAUUGGACAAUAUGCCAUUUAUAGACAAGGAUACUGAGGUUCAGAAAAGGUAAGGGGUUUGUUUGGUGUUGCUUAGUUCAUAGAUGCAAGAGUUGAGAUCUGUUCUCAGGUAUCACCAAACCCAAGAGCUUUCGCCUCUGACCCUGAUACUCUUCAUCUGCCAUAUUCAACCUCACCCCAUCCCUGCCCUGCUCUGUGCCCCGGAAGCCUGCUUCUCUGGACUGUACCUGCAGGGCUCUUGACCUGUGACUUCUGUUGGGUCCAGCCAGUGGGGGAGUUGGAGGCUGGGAGGAGAGAGGGUUGAGGUCUGAAAGCAUCCUGUUCCUCCUGGCUUUGCUGUGAUUUUGCAAUGCAUAUAGUUGGCCCUUUUCCAGGCUCAGAUCCCAAACCGACUCUGAUAGUAACCUCUUCUCCCAUGUCCUUCUGGGCCUGGGGGCGGCCCCAGCUUCCUGCUGUGCCUCAACAUCCCCCAUGAGCUCUCGGAAUCCUGCCCAUCCCUGCGUGCCCACCCUGGUCCCUGCAUUAAAAAUCUCUUCAAACAUA